Gossypium raimondii (Peruvian cotton) is the source of this 169-nucleotide ribosomal RNA. It matches the Rfam family "Bacterial large subunit ribosomal RNA", at positions 46 to 232 of the family's 2925-position model. The record is from Rfam. Lineage: Eukaryota; Viridiplantae; Streptophyta; Magnoliopsida; Malvales; Malvaceae.
AUAAGGAAGGACGUAGUAAACAACGAAAUGCUUCGGAGAGUUGAAAAUAAGCAUAGAUCCAAAGAUUUCCGAAUAAGUCAAUCUUUCAAAUUGCUGAAUCCAUAGACAGAGAAAAGACGAUCGGACAAAUUGAAACAUUUUAGUAGCUUGAGGAAAAGAAAGCAAAAGA